Molecule: ribosomal RNA, 466 nt
Filed under: uncultured bacterium
Lineage: Bacteria
Description: partial 16S ribosomal RNA
Rfam family: Bacterial small subunit ribosomal RNA
Source: RNAcentral
GAUGAACGCUGGCGGCGUGCUUAACACAUGCAAGUCGAACGGAAAGGCUCCUGCUUGCAGGGGUACUCGAGUGGCGAACGGGUGAGUAACACGUGGGUGAUCUGCCCUGCACUUCGGGAUAAGCCUGGGAAACUGGGUCUAAUACCGGAUAGGACGAUGGUUUGGAUGCCAUUGUGGAAAGUUUUUUCGGUGUGGGAUGAGCUCGCGGCCUAUCAGCUUGUUGGUGGGGUAUUGGCCUACCAAGGCGUCGACGGGUAGCCGGCCUGAGAGGGUGUACGGCCACAAUGGGACUGAGAUACGGCCCAGACUCCUACGGGAGGCAGCAGUGGGGAAUAUUGCACAAUGGGCGCAAGCCUGAUGCAGCGACGCCGCGUGGGGGAUGACGGCCUUCGGGUUGUAAACUCCUUUCGCUAGGGACGAAGCGCAAGUGACGGUACCUGGAGAAGAAGCACCGGCUAACUACGUG